UCUUCUGUAGGUUAUUUUGAUAAAUCGUUAGUUUGUGGUACUGAAGAAUUCGUUUAUGAAUGGAGGAG
This 68-nucleotide transfer RNA is filed under the name Fasciolopsis buskii. Its description in RNAcentral is "Fasciolopsis buski tRNA-His". The record is from RNAcentral. Lineage: Eukaryota; Metazoa; Platyhelminthes; Trematoda; Plagiorchiida; Fasciolidae.